CCUACGGGCGGCAGCAGUGAGGAAUAUUGGUCAAUGGACGAGAGUCUGAACCAGCCAAGUAGCGUGAAGGAUGACUGCCCUAUGGGUUGUAAACUUCUUUUAUAUGGGAAUAAAACGUUCCACGUGUGGGAUUUUGUAUGUACCAUAUGAAUAAGGAUCGGCUAACUCCGUGCCAGCAGCAGCGGUAAUACGGAGGAUCCGAGCGUUAUCCGGAUUUAUUGGGUUUAAAGGGAGCGUAGGUGGAUUGUUAAGUCAGUUGUGAAAGUUUGCGGCUCAACCGUAAAAUUGCAGUUGAAACUGGCAGUCUUGAGUACAGUAGAGGUGGGCGGAAUUCGUGGUGUAGCGGUGAAAUGCUUAGAUAUCACGAAGAACUCCGAUUGCGAAGGCAGUUCACUGGACUGCAACUGACACUGAGGCUCGAAAGUGUGGGUAUCAAACAGGAUUAGAUACCCCUGUAGUC
RNAcentral lists this ribosomal RNA (460 nucleotides) under uncultured bacterium. RNAcentral's name for it is "partial 16S ribosomal RNA". It matches the Rfam family "Bacterial small subunit ribosomal RNA", at positions 338 to 795 of the family's 1533-position model. The record is from RNAcentral.